RNAcentral lists this ribosomal RNA (116 nucleotides) under Chrysemys picta bellii (western painted turtle). Lineage: Eukaryota; Metazoa; Chordata; Testudines; Emydidae. The record is from RNAcentral.
AUUUGCCUGCAUACAACCAGGGCUGUGAUCUUGUCAGAUCUCACAACACAAGCAAGAUUAAGCUUGUUCAGUACUUGGAUGGAAGACUGCAAAGGGUAAGAAAAGCAUCGCAAAGC